Non-coding RNA from Phthorimaea operculella (potato tuberworm), 76 nucleotides. NCBI's taxonomy places the organism in Eukaryota, Metazoa, Arthropoda, Insecta, Lepidoptera, Gelechiidae. The record is from the annotation of a GenBank genome assembly.
GCCGCUGAAGCCCAGAUGGUAGAGGCAUCGCCAGUACAGAUGGUGAAGGUCGCUGGUUCAAGUCUAGCCUGCGGUG